RNAcentral lists this unclassified non-coding RNA (240 nucleotides) under soil metagenome. RNAcentral describes it as "partial contains 5.8S ribosomal RNA, internal transcribed spacer 2, and large subunit ribosomal RNA". The record is from RNAcentral.
AACGGUCUAUACCUGCGGUACCUGCGGAAGGAUCAUUAACGCGCCGUGGAGGUUGCCUUUAAACAGGUCUGACCUUCCACCUGGCCACCCUUGUGUAUCUUUAACCUGUUGCUUUGGUGGGCCCGCUGCAAGGCCGCUGGAGAAUUUAAAAGUUUUCUGGCCCGUGCCCACCAAAGUCCUAGUGAACUCUUUGUUAAUUUUCUGCUGUCUGAGCAUUAAAAGAAACAAUUUUUAAAACUU